RNAcentral lists this long non-coding RNA (30525 nucleotides) under Citrus sinensis (sweet orange). RNAcentral's name for it is "long non-coding RNA (CSIN_LNC003337)". Lineage: Eukaryota; Viridiplantae; Streptophyta; Magnoliopsida; Sapindales; Rutaceae. The record is from RNAcentral.
CUGGUUUUGGCUUGUACCUCGUAUUUGUUGUAUCGGUGGGAGCAGAUGAAGCUGACCCUAUUAGGAAAAGGGUAAAGGGGUGGGGUGGCUUCAACCCAGGAGCUCCAACAUUGAAGUAGGCAGCCUCAGUUAGAAGUUCCGCUCGAGUGAUUUUUUUAAAAUAAAACCUAUAUUCAGAUAAUUAAACAAGCAUUAUAAUUGGUGAGAGUAUAUUGGAAGUGUAAAAUAAAUAAUAACUGAAUUAAAGGAAAGGGUAAGCCGUAAGAAUAAUAAUAUUUUAGUUCUUCGUCUGAAUUUACGUGUGCCAAAUAAUUGUACAAAGUUGAGUGAUUAUUUUGUGACUAAUGGAAGUUGAGCCACAUAUGUAUGGAUAAGGACGAGACGCCCACACUUGAUCUGAUUGUUCUUAGCCUGAUUUAGCAAUAACAGUUCUGGUAGUUUUGGUUCUAAUUUAACCUAAUGUAAGCUAGUGGGCUGAUGAAUCUGGUAAGAUGAGGUCACGCAUGCAAGCGGUGGAAAGCCACCAGUAUCAUCAUAACGAAAGAUGUUUGUCGGAGAAUUUUGUGAUGUUAGAACAUUUUUCUUUGAAAAGUAAAUGAUGUACAUUUAUUUCUCUUUGAAAGCAUAUGAUGUUAAAACAUUGAUUACUUAUUUCAUUUUCUGUGUCUUGUGUUUUUUGUUCUUUGGUAUUGUGAUUUUGUACACUUUUUGAGCUUUCUAUUCAAACUUUUGUGACGAUUAUCUGGUAAGAUUAUUCUUAUUCAAUAAAAAUAAUCGUGCCAAGAUAUCAAACGAACGAACAGAUGUUUGAUUUUGGUAUUUUGACCCGAUAAAAGCAGAGAUUUAUUUUCUUUAUAUGUAUAGUAUAGUCAACUACUAACUGGUUUGGUAAGAAAUAUUUAGAAGCUCGAGAGAACACGAAAACAAUCUUUAUAAAGGUCGCAAGAAAUCUUUAUGGUAGGCAAAAAUAAGCAGACAUUGAAUAUUGAACAUUUCACAACAAUUGUUUUAUAUGCUAAUUUCUAAGUUAAUAGUUUUCUAAUUGAUUGAUGUAUUAUAUGCACAAGAUGGACCAUAUCUAGAGAGCUAUUGAGGGUAAACAAAGCUAUCAACAUAAUUUUAAAACUAAGUUAUCCUCCAAUAUUCAUCUCAUAAUGCCAUGACCCCAAAAGGACGCACAGACUUAAUACCCUAUUACAAGCUGGCUGCCACCAUUUGCUUCAGUGAGCCCGCCUCAGCCUCAAUCCUACGUCAGCUUCUCGGUCGGAUUGUAUUAAACCAGUGCCGUGCGAACCUGAAUUUUGCAUUUCAGAGGAAGUCCCUUCAUCGUUUUGCUUCUCUAGAAUAUCUUCCCCAAAAUUAUGGAGUCUGCGGCCGAUAAGAUAUCGGUCAUCGCGUAUGGAGUUGUGAAGGUUAGUGAACCAGACAUGGAAUCUUUUUGCGCAAAACCACAAUACACUGAAGCAGAGACAUCCCAACCAUGCAAACCGAUAGACUGCUGAAUUUACAACUAGUGGGUAACCAAGCACGGGGAAUACGCCUCGGGCUAGGACGUAAGGUACGCAUAAAGCUGUUAGUAGCUUCAUUAUGAUUGGGAACACAAUUUCACGGAGCACCCAAAGACCUUGCAGCCUUGAGAAACCAUCUUCUCUCACCCUUUCGAAUUUUAUUCGCCAGCUUUCAUCUACAAGCGGCAUCAUAUGAUCCAACAUAACCUGUUAAAAUAACAUUGGGAAGAAUCCACAAUCCCUUGUUUAGAAGACAUUAAAAUGUAUCACAAAAGUGUGAUGGAAACAAAAAGCAAUAAAAGACUCACCAGCCUAGUCCAGAUCUUCAGAAAGAUGAGACCCAAAGCCCAAUCCUGGUAAAGGAGAAAAACUGGGCUCUCAUCCACGGGCACUCGCAUUGGUACAAUUACCAAGAGUUCAAACAGAAGCCCAAUUAACACCGGAAUGACAAAAAUCUGGAACAUAAUAGCGGCAAACGGAUUGAAGAGUUACAACUCCAAUCAUUAAAAAAAAAAAAAUCAAUUAAUAAAAUCUUUUAAAAGAAUAAUGACCAGAAUAACCCUUACCCAUAUUGACAAUAAUGCAGUGCUCUUCACAACAAUACCACACCACUUCCAUAUUUGCUUAAACAGAAUCGCUGCCCUCUUUGUUCUAACAUGUUCAAUGGAAUAUCUGGCUCCAGCCACAGCAGUCCAAAUAACAUAGCUUCCAAUGAUGAAAGCAUAUAGAUCUAAUGGAAAGACAAGAAAAUAUGUUAGCAUUUUCAUCAAAAAGCAUGAAGCAUGGGAACUAUAAGUAACCCAAUCGACAAUGUUACCAUUGCAUUUGACGCCAUGAGUAAUUGGAAGCAGGGGAAUGGCAUUGAAGAGUGCACGCCCAAGUGAAAUUGGCACAACUAUUAAGGCGGAGUUAAUAACAAGCAGAGUCAUCCAGGCAAUCACCAACAAGAGCACGAUGCGAAGAACAAAGCCGUACCUGCUAUAAUACAAUAAACAAUAGAGGGUAAGCAGAAGUGUCAGAAACCAAUCAAUACAGUUAUGACAGAAUAUUGAAAAUACAAAGAAUAAAAAAAGAAGUCUGGGACUGGAUUAUGGCAGAUCAAGGCGACAAGCAUGGUCCUACAAUGACAAGUGAAACUUUUCAAUUAUCAAAAUAAGAACACAAUUAAUUUUAGGAAAUUUUUUUCACUUAUAAAUGCCUUUCAAGGGUGCACUCGACAAAACUCCAAUGCCAGGAAGAAAUUCAGUCGAAUGUUGCUCACUGUAACAUAUACCCACUCGUAAUGUGAAAAAACAAAGUUCCUGAAACUUACUCUGAGUCAGAUUGCUCAUCACCAUCAUACUCUUCUGAAACAUUAGAGUUUCCCGAUACAAGAGCGCCUCUAUUUAUAUCAUCAACAGCUGGCAUUCCAAUCAGGGCUCGAUCAGGUCCUAAUGGUAUUACCUGUAGUCCAUCACGUCUAAUCUCAAUAUUUCUAUCACGCCUUAUGUCAAUAUUUCCAUUCUCCUGGCCACCAUUGUCCUCAGGUCUGGGCAACAAAAAGUCCGUCAGACCAAGUGCCCAGCCAACAGCUGUAAACCAAUAGCGAAGAAGAGACUUGAUUGUUGUGCGCAACUUAAAAUGCUCAAUGGCAAACGGAAUGCAGAUUUGAAAGAGAAGCAUGUCAGCUGGUAUUUCAGUAAACGGGUCGGAUACACUGCAUAAACAGUUAUGCAUUCAGCAUAUAAAAGAUGAUAUAUCAACAAGGAAAGAAACUGCAGCAAAAGAUGCCACUGUAAAGUGUCUGCUUACGAAAUGUCAAGAGGAAAAAUAGAAGUAGCCAUGCGCAUAGCAAGUUUGACUGGCAAAAAUACCAGCAUCACAAUCAAACUCCCAUAAACUGCAACAGACAGCAGAACUCUGCGAGCAUGCUUGUGUACAGGAUCAUCAAUUAGAUCACGGAAUGGAUUAUAGUUUGGAUCAGCAGGAUCCCGUAGGAAGUACAGAACUCCAUUACGCAGAACCUGUCAAUGCAAGUGAAGAAAGGUCGUAAGAAUAACACACUCAGACAACAAAUCCAGAACUAAAAAUGAGAUGGCAAGGAGUAGUACCCCUCGAAGAAGGCUGACGAAUAUGCUUAUCUGUAACAUGUAAACAAUUCCUACAACCCAAUGAACCAAUGAGCUUGCCAAAGGAGAGACUGAGAAGAACUGAACUCUUUCAGACAUUGACUUCCCAAACAUCCUUAUAGUGCAAACAUCCAACCACCAACCACACAUCAAAGGGAAAACCCCAAGUUCAAUGACCAAAAGGAAAGCUACCUUAAUCAUGGUCAUUAAAUGUCUCAUUGCAGCCAAGAACUGCCUAAAGAGAGAUGGAAUUGUCUCCGCUAUAGAAGCAAUACCAUAAAACCUCCCCAUAGUCAAAGGCUCGCCCUUGGUAUACCGAAUCAAAGCAACAAUGCCAAGGUAGAAGAAGACUAGAGAGAAUAUAAACAUGUAUCCAAUAGCAAGAGUUGUAACAUCAGAAAGCCGUGAUGUUCCCAUCGUUGCCUCUUUCAACAUAUCUGCUGAAAGUGAGGCACUUGUACUAUUUGCUGCUUCAGUUAUUUCACUGGCAUUUCCUUUUAACACAUCUGCAACUUGGCCAAGAAGACCACCUUCUUGCCCUUCGGAUGUUAAAUUUGUCACAGCACUUAGUGCAUUCUUCAAUGUGAUAUUUGCUAAGGAAAGGGCCGUCUCCGUAAGUGGCAUGACUGAUGACAGCACUGGACCACUAGCAGAGGAUAAAAGCCAUGAUACAUAGUAUAGAAUAAUCCGACCUAAUGAGAAGGGCAGAAAGAUCACAACGCCAAGGAAUAUCAUAUUGCUUGCGAGAACCUACAAAGGAGUAAAAUCACUCAUCAUAUAAUGAAAAAUUUCCCACCAGGUAGUCAAAAGAGGCUAAAUACAUAUUUUAUUUCUCUUGAUACGAAAAGUACUAAAUAGUUCUGAAAGCAAUAAUCCAUCUUAAAUGGAAUAUCCAAGCAAAAGUAAUUAAUACCUUUCUGAAAACAAAACUAUGAGGUAAUGAACCAAAGUCAAAAUAGACAGAAAUUAAAUUAGAUAAUGGGGAUUUGUUCUAUCUAAUUGAUACUGCUGUGACUUUAUUAUAAAGGUUUUCUUCUUUUAAUUAAUUACCAUGCACCACACCCCUCCCCACCCGCAAAUUAAAUGUUUCCCCUUGGGACUUGAACGCCUGACCUCUUGCUUCCACUGCAAAAGGCCAACCAACUGGACUAUCCUUCAGCAAUAUCUUUAUCCUAAUGCUUGCUCCCAAUGGAGUUCAAAACUCUAAUUCCACAAUCAAAUUUAGUUUUACUUUUGAAAUAGAGCAAAUGAUGCUAAAACCUUUGUAAAUGUCAGUUAAGUCCAAUUUUUCCAGUUUCAACUGCUUUUUUUUUUUUUUGGCGUUAAGUUCAGAAGCCUGUCAAGCAGAUAUUGGUUUUUCUAAAGAAGUCAACUUCCAAAUAUAACACCAAGAGCUGAUGGCAAGGGGUGAUAACGGUAAAAUCUUAAAAAAGAAACCUAAUUGACAUUUAGGUCAGGUAUAAGAGGUCUGAGUGCCAUUUACACAUUGAAAAAGGAGCUAGUAAAAUAAUGCAGCUUUCAUCAUGCCUAACACCUACUAAAAAUAUAUAUCACAGUAAACCUAACAGCGGCAAUUCAUUCUAAUAGGAGAACAAACGUGAUAUGCUUUCAAUAAUAUGCAUUCCCAGACAUUUGAAAGAACCCAAGAAAAGACAGAAAGAAAAGGAGAAAGAGUUUACGGUAAAAACCAUCAAGACAAAUCAAUUGCGCAACAAAAUAAAAGACAGAAUUACUGAUCUAUAAUGAUAACAAGAAAAUGAUAAAGAACAAAUGGCAGACUUACAGUAAAAGCAUUUUCAACCAAAUGAAAAACAGGGCCCUGCAUGCCAACAAGCUCAUCAAAGGGUACAUCCUCUGCGCCAUCAGCAUCAUCCAAACCAUCAAACAUCUGUUCAACAUGAGCCUCGAGACGAGCUGCCUGCAUCUCCCAUCGUGCAGCAACAUUUUCUGCAUUCCUUCUUAUCAUUUGACCUGCUCCAGCAAUACCUGGUGCUCCACCAGCAUCUUCAGCAUUUCCUUCACCAGCAAAAUUCCUAUUAGCUUGUCCAGGGGGUCGCCUGGCUGCACGAGCAACAUUUCUGUCCCCUUCAUCCUCUCUCUCAGCAUCCUGUCCUCCAAUCUCUCGUAAAUGCCUGAAGUAAUCCCUUAAAGAAGUUGCUCCAAGAAAAAUAAACACAAUGCUCGCAGAAAGUAAGAAACCAUGCAAACAAUCAGUAAGAAUAACUGUAGUGGAGAUAUGACUCAAAAAUAAUCUCUGAGCUUCUCCGAAACUCCUCACAAAAGCCAAGCGCCAUAUCCAGAAUGUGAUAAAUGGUAUGAUGAGGAGCCAAACAGAAAGGACAAAACUGAGCCGUAGAAAGAAUUGCAGGACAUGGUAAGCUUUCAUCGCCAUCCCAACUAUAAACUCCUGAAACGGAAGUCUUGCUGGAGCAUUCUCAGCAUAAACAGGGGAGAAGGAAAAUGCAUGUUUACAAACCUACAAAAGCACCAAGUAAACUCAGUUACAGGAUUAAUAUCUUCACCUAGAAAAUAGAACUCGUCAUAAACAGAAUCAAAAGAUGAGUUAAAAGCAACAGCAGACAACUUCCAGCACUUGGAAACUGCAAACCAAAUAAAUGAUAUUAAUGGUUGCACAGUGACAGGAAACAUGACUUAGAAAAAAAAAAAACUUCUCUAUUCAUUCUGGUUGUUGUCUUUGGCUUUUUGCAUGCAUUUACAGACCUAUUACAGGCUUCCUACUGACACAUUUAACGUGCUAAAUUUCUUGAAAUACACACAUACAUCAUACACACUUUUGCAAUGUAAUUUAUCAAAGUCAUGCAAUAUACUGGUCUGUAUGAUGCUAUUCACCCCUAAAUCAUGAUCUUAAAAUAUCAAUAAUCAGCUGAUAUGAGACCCAAAGGGAAAGCCCGUCUAAUCAUCAAAAUCACAUUGCCAGAACUAAUGGUAGGAACACAAUUAAAAUGUUAUGCAGUAAUAGUAAAUUAAACAUAAAGAAUUUGCUGCUGCACAUUUCUACACUAUACUUUCCCCAGCAGUUAUCUUCAUUCUCUCAUUAUGGUACUCAGUCCCCUUUCAUUAUAUCAUAUCAAUUAAGCAUUAAUCUCAAAACUCGAAUAAAUAAAAUAACAGCCAACACCAACCCACUAAAAAUCCUAACUACAACCAAUUGAAAUAAACCUUUUUUUCCCCUCUUCUUCCAUAAAUUACAUAUCCAAAGAAGAAUAAUAAAAUCUACUCGCCUAGAAAAUCAUACAAUUCAAAUAUCAUUAAUCCCUUCAAAAGUUACAUAUGUUUCUCCUAAUUUUCUAUCUCCAACAAAUGAAUUUUUUUUAAAGAAAAAUGACACAUUAAUAAAUUUUAAAUUAAAAAAAAAAAUAGAAAAAGAACCUCGCAUUGACGAGCGUUACUGUGAUUGAGCCACUGAAGGAGGCAAUCCUGAUGAACAAACUUGAUACUUCCGCUACAGGCACAUGGAUACCGCAACGGAUUCUCGGGAUCUCCAGGAUUCCGACAGAUCCGACACACCUCCUCUUCCUCUUCCUCCUCCUCUUCGAUAUCGAAGCCGGUCGAACUAGUCUUCUCUCUAUCAUCCUCCGCCCCCAUCGACGCCGAUUCUUCCGCUCCUCUCUUCAUCGACGGCGUCGACAAAGAUGGCUCGGGAGAGUUGGCCGGCAAGGAGGAGGAGAAGGAGGAGGAGGCCAUGGCGCCACCCCGCGGUGACGUGGAAACGUCCAUAGGAAAGAGAGCUGACUUUUGUCUCUCUGUAUUCGAGGCAAUAUUGAAUCAAUGGUGGUGGACUGAUGGUGAUGCCGAAUGGGAUCUUAAUUAAAACGGGGGUUGCUAGGAAGAAGGAAAUUGUUGGGUACAGAAUUUGAGUCCAGAAUUGCCCCGGGUUCCAAUUUUUAUUACGGUUUUGUCGGUUACAAUGUAUGCGGCUGACUGGACAUGACGUGGAGGUAAGGGAUUGGUUUUUCAGUUUUUUAAUUUUUUACUAAAAUUUUAUGUUUUUAAGAAUAAAGGCUAAAAAAAUUUAUAUUUAUACUUUAAAAUAUUUUUUGCUUAUUUCUGCUGUACCGNNNNNNNNNNNNNNNNNNNNNNNNNNNNNNNNNNNNNNNNNNNNNNNNNNNNNNNNNNNNNNNNNNNNNNNNNNNNNNNNNNNNNNNNNNNNNNNNNNNNNNNNNNNNNNNNNNNNNNNNNNNNNNNNNNNNNNNNNNNNNNNGCGGAUGUACGGUACAGCAGUUUUAUUUUUUAUUAAUAUAAUUUAAAAAUUAUCUUUUAAAAUAAUUUUAUAAUUUUUAAUAAAAAUUUUCAUUAAAAAUCAAACAAAUAAAAUUUUUUAAUUAAAGUUUUAUCAAAAAAUUUUAUUUAAAUAACCUCUAUUUAAAAAAUUAUAUCAAUUGAACCUAGCAGUUUGCACUUGUAAAAAAAAAAGCUCUUUGCAAAACAAAAAAAUAUAUAUAUAUUUGCUUUAAUUGUAGGUCUUUUUUUUUUCCUUCAUCCUCAGGAUUGCUUUAUUGUAGUUAAAAUGAAGUCAUAUCCUUUGGUCAAAUAGAAUACAAUUCAAGCUUAGUUUUACUUACUUUCGAUUCGCAUUGGCUGAAAAUUUCAAUAUAUGAUUCCUAUGGGCCUAAGAACAAGACUUUAAUUUUUUGGGCUAGGCUAAUCCAUAUACUAAUCUACCAACACACCGUUACCUUUUGUUGUGCGUACCCACAAUUGAAAAUGAUAAAAUUAAGACCGGUUGAUAUUGAAGUUAGAUAAUUUUAAUUUUUAAAUUACACUAUUAAUGUGUGUAGUAAACAUUUGAUACAGUGAGUUGAAAGUAAAAUUGAUUUGAUCUUUUGCCAUGAAAAAUUUAUAAUAUCUUUAUUAUUUUUGUUAAGAUUAUUAUUUAAAAGUCAUAUUUACAACACAUUAUUAACUUUUAUUUAUAGUAAUAGUUUUUUAUAACAGUUUUAAUUUAAAAAAUACAACAUGCCUCAAUACCAAAGAGGACAUGAAUUUAAUUUCUUAAAAAGGACUAUAAAAAAAAAAAAAUAGAGUAUUAAGUAGUAAGGAGCAAUGGGCUUGGCCUGACCCAAUCCCACAGUUUUUUUUAUUUAAAUUAAAUUUAUUUUUUAUUCAUAAAUUAAAAAAAAACCCUGACCAAAUCCGAUCUUUUUGUGAAGUCUUUGUCUAGACCUAACAUAUAUGGACUUUGUAAUUUUUGGGCCCAUAUUUAGACCCACCUCUUGCGGGCCGAACUUUAGUCCCUGGAUUGCCGGGCCGGCCGGCUUUUUUGCCACCCCUAAGGAGCAAUAUGGUUAGUUAUGAUUCUCUUAAUUAUAGAUGUAAGUAAUUUAUAAUAUCUUGUUAAAUGAACCAGUUCCAAUGAUUGCAGAAAAACCCUUCAUUACUAGUCAUUAUAGCUCAACAUGAAUAUACUUAUUUCGUUUGUGAUUUAGCAAUUCCAAAGUUUUUUUUUAAAUAAAAAAGAAAUAAGAAAAAUUAAUCUUUUAACUUUUCAUGUUUUUUCAUUUCAUAAAUCUUGUUAAGAAUCUUUCGACAUGAAAAAGGUUUGUGGCACUGUAAUAAGCCUCCGAUGGGUAAGAUAAAUUCAAAAUACUCCUUUUUUUUUUAUCUCAUACUACUGCUCGCCAAGUGUAGCGGGGCACCAUCCGCUAAAACUUGGCCCUUUUUAAUGCAUUUGCCCCGCCUAACCUGGGGUUUUUGAUGCAUAUAAGUAUUUUUAUUUCAAUGUUGAUACAUAAUUAAUGGGAUACUAUAUGUAUUACCGUUACCCGAUAAAACAAUCUUGUCAAAUAUCGGUAUAAAUAAUCUUUUCAUAUCGUAUUCAAAGCACCAUGCUAUUAUUAUUUAAUGAUAUUGAAAAUGAAACCCUUAAUUCAUGUGUUUUAACAUGAUUUCUUUGUCAGUAACAUUAUAUUAUGAAGAUAAAGGAUUUUUCUUCUUAAAUUAUAUUAGGCUACUGUUUCUAACCCAAUAAAUAAAAUAAAUUCUAAUAAUAUAUUAAAAUUUCUUAGUUAUUUUUUUUUUUUUAGCCCCUCAAUACAUAUAAAAAGGGAAGACAUAGAGUAGACGUCAUCUGCCAAUAAAAUCGUGAUCUUAAAAAGAAAAUAAAGAUGAAAAGAAAAAAAAAAAAGUUCCGCAUGUAAUGGUCUAAUACUUACACGUAAUCAUUAUUUCAUAUUUUAAGUCCCUCUUCGGUCUUCACGGGCGUGCACCAAAAUGUAACGGCUAUCUGUCUGCUUUUUCUUUUUUGUUUUUUUUCAGGUCUUGUUUUCUAAAUAUAUAAUUAACUAAUCAUAAGAAUAAUUAAGAUAACUGAUAAUGAUACGCACAAAUUAUCAUCCAUAAAAGCUUAUUAGGAACUGCUAGAUCCACUAAUUGAAUGAUAAAUUACUUACUUAUAUAUAAAAUUAUACUUAAAUCAAUAGAAUCUAACAAAGGCCACUUUCACUUCCUUCCAUGAUCAAAGCAACUCUCUUUUGUCUUUAGUGCGCCUAAUCUACUCUCCUUUAUGACAAUUCUCUACUUUGUGCUCCUUUAGAUCAUUGUCAAUUUGUCACACACUCACUUUGUUACAGCAUUGGCCAAUGGCCAUGAAUUCACAUUAUUUAUUUAUUUAUUUUUUCCACUUUUGCUUUAUGCUCCAUUGGGUUGGUGAGUCAAUAAUUUUGUUUCAUUUCUGUGCCUCGCUUUUGUAGAAUCCUUAAUUAUUACUAUCAAUCGCAGCAAUUAAGGAGCUGUCGGUGGCAUAGUGGCAUCCAAUGUUAUGACCUGCCCUUCCCAGCUUCUGCAUUGUUUGCAUGAAUCUUGUGGCCUUUGUUGUUCUUUCACCGCAUUUUCAACUUCUUCAAGCAAAGCUCCCUCUCUCAUUCGCUCUCUCUUUCAUUCCAUUGCAUACGCCAAAGCAAUAACUAGGUAGUGCAGGUCAGUACUGUGAACAAUUUGCUUCUUUUCCUUAGUGAGAUUUUGCUGUUGAGCCUCAAAAGCUUGCAUUUGUUCUUAUACGCUUUGUUCUAAAUCAAGGUGUGUCAGUGUUAUUGUGCAUUUAAGGCAGUGUUCAUUAGUUAAUUUUUAUCUGUUUAGUGACAAGUAAACAGAAGCGGCUUCUUUACCAUUUGGAGUUGCUUUUGUUUAUGCUUUUGACGCUAAAAUUUUACUAAUUUAUGGCUUACAAAACCAACAUGAGAGUUGUAAUAUUGCAGGAAAUGUGGGAUAUACCACUUUUAAGUUUUUAACUUACUUAUAAUUGUUUUACCAAAUCAUUGAAAGUUGCACCAAAAUUCCAAGCAGAGGCAAAUUAAUUUGUGUGCUGUUCUUAUUUUAGUUCACACAUUAAGUAGGUAUUAGCAUGUAUCAGUUAUUUUUAAUUGAAUGCAUUCAUUAAUUGUCACUGAUAGAAGUUAAUUAUAUUAAUCCACAUUUCCCACUUUUGCUGCAUGUUUACAGAAUCUGAGUGAUGGACCAGAAGGCAUGGCUUUGGAGGAAAAAAUCUUCAGAAAAGACAAUUGUUGCAACUGACAAAGUUGGCGUUACAUUGAAUCAAAUUGAUGAACAGGUAGUGGAAAUUUACUUCUCCUUCCCCUCACCUUCAAUUUUUUGGUUUCUAGUGUAUGCUGAUUAUUAUUACCUCUUCGAGAAAAUAUUUCACGUUCCAUGGUCAUCUAAUAGACCUUGAAAUCUUCGUUCUACAUUUCUUUUUCAUUUGUCCUUUUUUUUUUUUUCUUUUUGAAGAAUUUCUGCUAUUUCGUUGUGUUAGGUACCCAUAGUUCCUACGACUAAAGGAGUAGGAUCAGAGAGAUCCAUGAAGAAUCUUAAUGAGAAGUUAGCUUCAGUGAUCUUUGAUUGUCAUCCUAAAGAUGAGCUUAUGGCAAAACAAGCAAAGCUGGUGCAAGAAGCUGGCGCAGGUGAUUUAUAUUUAUUUGAUUAUCAGUCUUUUCUCACUCUUGCUUUAUCACUUCCACAGUUUUUCUGAUGAUUCCAUUGGCUGAUUCGAUAAAUAUUUCUCUUAGGCCAAGAAAAGCCAGAAGUGGCAGCGGCAGUGGUGAAAAAAGAACUUGAUGAGACUCUGAAGCCUCCACUUUCUGCAAAUGAAAACUUACCUUAUGCAGGUGCUGCAACAGCACCAAUGAAAUGUGUGAAACAAUUAAACUUUGAUCAAGCAGAACAAGAGCAAAGGGUCCAUGACGCUGUCGUAAAAACAUCAGGUGAGUUUGAGAAGGCGCAGAAGGAAUUGGAAAAGAAUUUAAGGGAGGCAAAUGAAAGAAUUGCUAAGUUAGCUGCUGAGAAUAGCCAUCUGAGUAAAGCACUUCUAGUCAAAGAGAAAAUGAUCGAAGAUCUAAGCAAACGCAAGUCUCAGGCUGAAGCAGAAUUCAGUACCCUGAUGACUAGAUUAGAUGUCACUGAAAAGGAAAAUGCAUUUUUGAAGUAUGAGUUUCGUAUUCUUGAGAAAGAGCUUGAGAUUCGAAACGAGGAGAUGGAAUAUACCCGGAGAUCUGUUGAGGCAACGCAUAAACAGCAUUUGGAGAGCGUGAAGAAAGUCGCAAAGUUAGAAGCAGAGUGUGAGAGGCUACGCCUUUUGGGGCGAAAAAAGCUGCCUGGUUCUGCUGCUUCGGCAAAGAUGAAGAGCGAAGUCGAAAUGCAGGGAAGAGAUCAGAUGGAUAUGAGAAGAAGAAAGUUGAGUCCUACUAGAGAUUUGAUUGUAAGACACGCCACCAUGGAGAGCUCUCAUGACAUCAGUCUGCUUGCGCGGUUGCAUGAUAUGGAGAAGGAAAACAGAACUCUUAAAGAUAUUGUGAUCACAAAGAGCACUGAACUUCAGGCUUCAAGGAUGAUGUUUUCAAGAACAGCUUCAAGAUUAUCUUAUGUUGAAUCUCAGCUUAGAGAGAUAUGCACAGGUCAAAAAUCCAUGGAGCUGACAGGUUGUGUACCUAUCUCCAGCGAACUUUCUAUAAUGUCAGUUGACAAUGCCAGCGAUGAUGGGAUGAGCUCAUCAGGAUCAUGGGCCAACGCUCUAAUUUCAGAACUAGAACAUUUCAGAGAUAGGAAAAUCAAGAAUCAGCUGGAACACAAAGGCAUUGAAGUUUCAGGCAUGAGCUUAAUGGAUGAUUUUGUUGAGAUUGAGAAGCUCGCUAUAGUGUCUGCGGAAACACCUUCAGGAAGUGGCUAUCAGUCUGAUGUCACUAGCAAGGAAUUAGUUCCACUUGUACGAAGUGAUUCCAGGCUUAGUGAGAUAAAACAGGAGAUCCACUCAAAAGACGUUGCAACUGAAAAAUCUUUUGACUGGCUUCAGGUUGUUUUGAAUGCAAUGUUGAAGCAAAGGCAAAUUUCAAAACAAAGUCUAGAUAAGCUUCUUGAGGAUAUUAGAAUUGCUUUGGGGUAUGUAAAUUAUCCGACUGUUGUUGCAGCUGAUUCAGUGGCCGCCUCAACGCAACCCAGGGAAUCAAAAUCUCCUAAUACAUCUUACAUUGCACAUUCGUUGCCUGGAGAUUGCAGAAAUGGCAAAGAAAGAAGCAGCCAACAUCUUGAAUCUGAUCUCAGUAAGUCAAUCUGUAAAAUCAUUGAACUGAUUGAAGGAGUCAAUGUGACAUCUUCAGUAAGUCAUCCUUACUCUGUCCAUGUUUUUCAGUGGAAUCCUUCUGAAUUACAUGCUGUUCUGCAAAAGUUUGUAUGUGCUUGUAAUGACCUAUUGGGUGGGAAGGCUGACCUCGAUAAAUUUGCUGAGGAACUUUCAAGUGCUUUAGAUUGGAUUAUGAACAACUGCAUUGCCCACAAAGAUGCUUCGAGAGCAAGGAAUAAAGUAAAGAAGCAUUUUGGUUUACUUGUGGAAUCAAAUGAGGUUCAUAUCCCUGAAGAGCAAUCUUCAGCUUCUUUGCAAGGCCAAAAUGUCUUAUCCCAAAGUAAUCUUCAAGAGGAAAACAGGAGACUAAGAGAUGAGUUGAAGAGUAUGGCAGCCAGGCUGGAGUCAGCAACUGAUAGGAGUGAGGCCUUGGUGACACAACUUCAUGAAUCAGAAGAACAGAUUGGAAAUUUAGAAACUGAAGUCAAAGCUUUGAAAGAAUCCAAGGAGAUGAUUGAGGAUCAGAUGGAAAAUCAAAAAUCUAUCAAUGAAGAUCUUGAUACCCAGCUAACAGUUGCCAAAGCUAAACUGAAUGAGGGCUUUCAGAAGUUCUCAUCUUUGGAAGUUGAAUUGGAGUACAGAAAUAAUUUUUGUGAAGAACUGGAAGCAACAUGUCUCGAGCUUCAACUCCAGUUAGAGAGGUAAAACCGAUUUCUUUGCUUUUCCUACUGUAUUAACUGGUUAAAAAAUUGUUCCUUGAUUAAAAAAAGUCUACACUUUUCAUCAUGUUGACUCUCAGUGUUGCAAAGAGGGAACCACCGAGCUAUGGUGUAAAUCAGGGGGAAAAGCAAUCCCAGAAUGUAAGUUAGACAUCAUUAUCUGUUAUUAUCAUGUUGCCUUCGCUUAUAGAAGCAGACUUAUAAAUCUACCAGUCAACAACAUCAAAAAAUUAAAAAAAAAAAGGAAAAUAAUUGUUGGACAAUGCAUUGACAUAAAUGCUGCUGUUUGAUUAUUCAGGGUUGGGAGAUGACAGCAGCUUCUAUAAAGUUGGCGGAGUGCCAAGAAACCAUUCUAAACCUGGGAAAACAGCUGAAGGCACUGGCUUCACCACGGGAAGCAGUACUUUUUGACAAGGUUUUCUCAACCACCAAUCCUGCCAUCACUGCAACCAAUAACAGGAGAUUAAACCAGCGCUUCUCCUUACGUGAUAGAAUGCUUGCUGACGAUAGCUCUAAAACAGACCCUUUCAAGUCUUCAAAUAGUAAAGCUACUUUGAGUAUUGAAGAUGGUCCAAAACCAUCACUUCUUCACUCCAAUGAUUGUAAUGGUGUAGAUGCCCCUAUUGUCCAGGUCCAUUCUCCAGAAGUACAUACUGCUUUAGAGAAUAAAGCCAGUAACACUGCAGUUGGAUCAUCUCUGGCUGUUGUGCCAAGUAAAAAACGAGGAGUUGGUUUACUUUUGAAACUAUUUCUGAGAAGGAAGAAAGGGAGCAGCAAGAAUUCUAGAUCUUUAGCCAAGGUCUGAGUACAAAAAGAUAGACAAUCAAAGCUAAGAGCCUAAGCUUAAAGAGAAACUCCUGGUCUCAUGAUAGCAGCAAUACACAUCUUGGAGGAGUUAAUUUCCCGGAGUUUUCAUGCGUUGGUUGUUAACGUUUGGUGCUUAUAGUUCCCACCUUGAUGAUCGGAUGAAGUGAAAACAUGACUGCUAUUCCUGCUUUUGUUUAAACGAGAGAUAUCAUCAGAUAGUUCUUUUGUAAUGUGCAAUUGUGCAGUGAGUCCGAAGUGUUGCUUGUAAAAAUACAACUGGGUUUAAAACUUUUGAGAGCUUAAAUAAUUCCUAUAAUGAAAGAUGGCUGUGGAGAGUUUUAUCAUUUGAUGGCUUGAAUAUAAAGGUUCUAGACUCAAGACUUGAUUGGAAUCCUAGAGUGUCAUUUGAUGUGAAGAGAUCAUUUUUCUUCUUCCAAUAAAGCAGCUUUAGCUGCAGCUUCUACAUUCUUAAUGGUGUAACAAAUCUUAUUAGUCUCUUCCUUGGUUCUAGAAAUAUUGAUACCGUAUCAAAGCAAAUUAUCUGGAUUCAUUAUUGCCUCAAGAUGAUGCCUUGUUUCAUGGAAGAUGAAAUGAACUUGCAUUAUAUUCUCAAAAUCAAAUCUGUUAAAUUCUACAAUUCACACGGGCUAUGGUUAACAAGAAAAUUUAAAAGAUGCCUGAGAAAAUGAACGAUAAUGCUUCUCUAUUUCUCUCUCUCUCUCUCUCUCUCUAUCAUUCUCUCUUUUCCUUCUACUUCUGAAAGCCACCUGAGAAAAAUUCAGAAUCCCAGAACCACAGGUACCAGUCAAUUUUCCAACCAUUAUUCUCAUUCUUGGUUUUCAAUCUCUAUACAAGAUAAAUCUUGCAAUUUCAUCCAGUCCACCCUCUUUAUAACAUUCAGCUAUGCGCUCCAGAGAGUCGGCCCAGGUUCCUUCAAUAGAACCCAAAUCCAGCAGAAAAGCAGCCUCAUCUAAUGCAAUCUGCACCAAGGUAUCAGAAUGAAACAUUUUGUACCUUGCAUAAAACUCUAAAACGAACUGUGCUGCAACAAUACCUGGGCAGGUGCCUUUCCUUUCUUUAAAUCCUCUUGUUUACCCUCUUCAGUUAUCUUCUCCUUAAUGUACUCUAUUUGCUCAUCCUCCCAUUGUGCAAUGCUGGCGACUGCCUGGUCACGUAAAGCAAAUGUUACCACACAAGGCAGCACCGCAGCAGAAACUUAAGAACAGAACCUGAAAGGAAAAUGCAUAUGGAGCAAAGAAAUUCCCCGUGCCUCAUAUGCACAGCCUAAGGUCCACCACGGUGAUUUCAAAGCCACCCUUGCAGAAUCUUUAGCUUCUGAGAUACGCCCUACUCUACAGAGAUUUAAAAAUUCUCUUGAGAGAUUUUAAAGUGCAAUGCACAUCUCCAAAUCAGGAAAAGGAUUUUUCAACUAACUUCAGCAUAAUCUCCGCAUUGAAAACAAAAGGUCGUCCAAAUCCUGGAAAGAGGUCCUUCUUUGCAUAAAACUCCCCAGUCACUAGAGCUGAAACCUUCCAUUUACCCAUGCAAUAAAAAAUAAAUUAAUAGAAGCCUCAAAGGAACAAAAGUCUCGAACUAAAGAUAAAAAUUCAGAAAAUCUUACAUGAUCCCCUUGCUCAAAGUGUCGUGUCACUUUAUGCUCUAAAACAUCUGGAAACAGCCCAACCUGAAAGACAACAAUAAAAUGUUACCACAGAUUUAGCAGAGGCAGUGCUAAACCUCAGCUCACACAGCUGUCCAAUUACCUUACUCAGUAGAUAACUGUCAAGGUUCGUUAUAUUGGAUUCAGCAAAAUCACCCCUUUGAUAAAGUUUCUUACCAGCCUCAGAAGAUGCAUCAUAUAAUUCACUAUUAUUUUCUUCCAAGUGAUGGGCAUCUUCUUCAACAAGGAGCCGGUGAAUAUAUUGAUCUACCUGUGUUUCAAAAGCGGUAAAUAGAUUAGUCAUUUUUGUAAAAAUAAGAUAAAUACUAUGAGGGCUUGUUCAACUCUAUUUUACAAACUAGGGGAAAGGAACGAGAAAAAGAAGUGAAACUUCUGAGAUUCCAGAUCUUAAAAUGUCAAGUACACUCAACUAGUUACACACAUUACGGUAUGCUUUCGGUUUAAUGCAUUACAUUUUUGCCUAAAAGCCACACCCCAUGCUUGCGAACUUCCACAACUGGCAUCUCCAUUCUGUGUUGGCAAUAGUUGUAGGAAGAUUAUUUAGUAUUAAAGCAUUUGCCAAAGUAAGUGUUCUGUAACAGCAAAAAUCAUAUAGCAUGAAUUGUUAAAGUUCAAAUCACUAACCCAGAUGGAGCUGUUGGCCACCGCAACAAUGCUGUUACAGCACCUAUUGUCAAUGAACAAUAGAUGUGCCACAUUUAUAUUAGGAACUCCACAUCAAAUUUUUUUUUCCCCAAUAUAAGCUACUAAUAAAUUGUAUGCAGUAUUCAAAUGGUCAUCAAACCUGAGCUAUUUUCUGAAAGAGGUAUAGCAAGGGGAAUGAUCCCUUGCCUGGAUCCUGGAGAAACAAUGGUAUCACCUGUGACCAAGUGAAAAAACACAAUAAUAGUUCAGGAACAUGCCAACAGAGGAAAAAGAAACAGCUCCAAAUUUUCAAAUUUUUAAAUAAGUUGACUGUUCCAGAUUGGAUAAAAAAAUUGCAAAAGAAAAAACUGUCACUACCUCAUAAUAAAAACUUAAGAUGGCCGAGCUAUACAUUGCAGAAAUCUCAAAUUUCAACUAACAAGUCAAGAAAUCAGAAACUGCCCACCUCUAGUCCGAAGCACUUUUAGCAACUCAUCAAGAUGUUCAGGAGGAUUCGCCACUGCUAUAUCUCUGAUGAACGAUACAUGGCCUGCGUUUUGACCAGCAGACUGUCAGAUAACCCCAACGUAAAAAAACUACUCAAUGACAAACAUCACAGAGGAUGAAUUUACCAAAAUUGAGAUCAAAACUCCAUAAUGGGGUUAGCAUGACAAUGACGUGGUAUCAGUUAUGCAUCAUCUAUUUUCAACCGAACUUCUAGUACAAUUCAAUCGAAAUGAAAAUGGGUUAAAAAAAAUUCAAAUUUUACUGGCCUAGACUCAUUAAAUAACUGAUUAAACAUAUUUUCUUUUUAACUAAAGUGAUGACAACAUAGGCUAUGUGUGCAUAUAUAUAUAUAUAUAUAUAUAUAGUUACCAGAAGAGGAAGAGCAUCUAAUGGGCCUAGCUCUGACGUGGCGAAGAGGCAGUGCAGCGGCACAAGGAGCUCUGUGGAUUGCUCCCAUUACACCCAUCUUCAUUUUGCUGCUGCCGCUUCUACCUCAGCAGCCACACUACGUUAAGCUUUGUAUCUCUCAAGGUGACACUAAAAACAGAGGAUAAGAACCAAACAUACUCGAUAGAUAGAACCAGGGCAAUUCGUGGUCUCAUUUUGUUGUUUAUUGUACAAAAAUAAUAAUAUUAAGAAAGACCCUCUUUUUUUCCCAGAAAUGGCAAAUUUCCAAAUAUGUUACAAUUUUACACAAAGAAGUCACUAAAAUUAAUUUAAAAUUGCUGUUUAGAAAAACAAGCCACAAAGGUUAAAAAAAAUCCAAGUUCAAAUAUUGAAAUGAACGCCUUAUUAUUAGUUAUCAUUUUAUCUUUGAAGGGACAUCUUAUUAUUCACAUUCUUUCUUGUUUAGUUAUUUAUUGAAUCAUAUAAUCGUAAUUUAUGCUAGAAAACUGGUCUUCAACACAGAAGAAAAAAUACAGAAUCUGCUAUGGCCUUAGCUUUUGCAUAUUGUUGAUGGGGGAGUAAAAGUGGGAGCUAAUCAAGUACACACUAAUUUUACAGCGUGAAUGAUAUUUGUAUAUAAAAUCCAUCAUAAUGAAUCAUUUUGUGUAAUUCAAUCCACAUUUUGGAAAUCAAUUAUCCUUCAAUGUUUUCUUGGAGGUCAAAGCUGCCUCCUUCAUUUCCAGCAAUGAAUCUUCAAAGCACUUGGCAAGCAAUUCCGGGUCAGGGAUAAUGUCUUUAGCUACUAGAAUUUGCAUGUCAGCUCUUCCUGCAUAGCUCAUCAUGUGCAUUGUCAGCGCCUGCAUAAAUAUCAAGUUAUCAACCAAGGUGAAUACUUAUGUUUCACUGAGUCUAUUGAUAUUAAAAUAAAAUCUAUUAAAAAAAAACAACACAAUCUACCAAUAACGUUAAGUGUAAACAAUGGACAUGUAGGAGAUUGAAAAUUGCAAAUAUUGUGCACGAGGUCACCAAAGAGACUAGCUUAUAAAAGUAGACUAUCUCAUCUUACUUAUAAGUCAAAUUCCACCCUCAAAUAAAAUCUCCACAGGUGGAGAGGCAUCACCGGCCUCUACCCUUUCAUCCAAUGUGCUUGAGUUGUUCCACCAUAUUCGAACUAUUAGGUUCUGGCUUCAGCUUGUUAUUAUUCAGUCUAUAACUCUAAAGACUACUAGUCCAUGGUGGAGCCAAGGAGUGAUUCACCCUCUUUAUAAAACCCAAGUAUCUUCCUUUUAUAAGCUAAUAUAGAACACAACACCAAUAAAUAUAUGCUACCAUACUAGUAACAAGAUGAAUGGUGUUAAUGCAAUAUGUACACGAAUAAAUAGUAACAUAUUACUAACUAGACACAAAAUCUUAAUUGAGUAAUUAAUCAAGGAAGAAAAAGCUGGAGCUAGAGGCUGUACAUGAGGCAAGCUAGAAGUGUUUGCCCGGAGGUAAGCCACAGGAUUGUCUGCAAGGGUAAUCUUCUCUGUAGGGCCAACAAUAUUCGAGAUUGUGAAGGUUGUAUUACAAACAAUCCUGUAAUUAAGCAAGCACGCUACCUACAAUUAAGGGAAGGGGAAAAAAAAAAGAGUUACAAAUCUGCGAGGAAUGUAAAAUUUGAAAAUUUUAACGGAAAACUGACAAAAUUCUUUUUUAUAAUCACCUUUGCUCCAAACCAGGACAUUACAAGAUUCCCAAUUUUGUAUGAGAAGUGACCCUCUAGAGUUAGUUUCUUACUGUCAAUCAUUUUCUUAGCUCUCUUUACAUAAGAUAAGGGAUCAGCUCCACCUUUGUGAUAAUAAAUUGGCAGCAGAAGCAUGCCAAAUUUGUUCCCCCAGCGCGUUCCUGAAUUGCUUUUCAUUAAGUUUGAUAGAUCCUGAACCAAAACCAUUCAAUCCCACUACGUAACGUGUAGUCUAAGGUCACAUAAUAAAUGAAAUUGUUUAAAAUAAAUAAAUGUACACUGCACCGUGGCUAACCUGCAGUCCUGGCUGCCGUCUUAUAUUAACCAUGGCCAGACCUGUAAUUCUAAGUCCUUCGGGCAGAGCUGAUGUGAUCAAAAUUGAACUUAAGUUUAGGAUUUAAGAUCAAUGUGAUUGAAGUUUGAUGUUGAUGUAAAUGUAAAUGUACAAAUGUAGGUGUGUGUUAGUAUCAAAACUUACCAUUUGGGGAUCGGUGAUCCAAGUACCUUGAUAAUCCGGAUGAUACAACCCCAAAGAGAACAUCAUUAAUGGUCUGCAUUGUUGAAUAAUUUGAAGUAUCAAUAUAGGCAAAACACAAUUAAACUAUAAUUUAAGUAUUAAAAAUAAUGGUAGUAAGUAAUAGCAUGCUACCGAAUUAAUCAAGGUUUAUGAAUUAAGGAGAUUGAUAUUUAAUUAAAAUGUAUAUGGAACCAAAAGUCUUUCUUUUUUAUUCUUCUGACUAUACAUAUUUAUAUAACACAGAAUAUUUUGAUUUUUUUUUUAAGAAAAGAAAGAAUUUAAUGCGUUCGGUAUUAUUUUUCAAAUGGUGUUAUAGAAUUUGUUUUAUGAAAUAAGAAUGAUUAGUUUUUGUUGAAAAUGAAAAUGUAUUUGGUAACUUAUUUGAAGUACAGUACUUAAAAAUUAUUUAAAAAAAAAAAAAGUAAAAAGGUGUUUAGUUGUUUGUCUCAAAAAAUGAAGACAGGAAAAGAGAGUAGAGAAUUAUUUAAUGAAACAUUUUCUUAGUAGAUGGAUUAUUUAAUGAAACCUUUACGAAAGAGUAAUAUAAUGCAAUGAAUAUAACAAUAUAUUUUAUAUCAUUAAAUAAUUUAUCUAUUUAGAUAAAUUAUAUAUUACUAUAGAUGAAUAUAGGUACAUGGUUAUUUUACUGAUUGCUUAAAAACUUUUAAUUAUGUAAAUAAAUUGUAGUUAUAAGAUAAUAUUAAUUAAGAAAAUCUUAAAUUUCUUUAUAAUUAUCAUAUAUUUGUUUAUAUUAGUUCCAAAGAUGUAAAUUUUUUAUUGAUAUAUUUUCAUCGGUAUAUAUAAAGGUUUAUAGUCAUUUUUGAAUAGCUACAUAUUGGUCGAACAAUGUAAUAAUUUGCUAUAAUAAUUAUGUGAUAUUACUUUUUAUUUAAAACAGUUUGUGUAAUACAUUAAGUGAUUAGACUAUAAGGUAUAGAAUAAAUUCUUGUUAUUGUUGUUAUGUUAAAUAUUUGUUAUAAUAGUUUAUUUAUUAAAUUAUUUCUUCAUUCAUAAGGGUAACAUAAUCUACUACACUAUGUUAUAAAGUCAGGCACCAAAUGAAUAGUGUUGCACCAUAUUUGGUGCAAUACUAUUCAUAACACCAUUUUGGUGUUACUUUGGAGAAAUAUUUUAUACCAAAAAUGGUAUAAAAUGUGGGGCAAAAUUAUGUUGCAACAGUGGUACGGUACCACUGUUACAACCAGCCAUUAGAUCUAUAGUUGUACAAUUGUAUUAAUUAUAUCCAAUGACUGAAAGCAACAUAGUUAGACCCUAAAAGGUGAUUUGGUGUUAGGUUUAGUGCUGCAUGGAGAUGCCCUCACGGCUAUUUAGCAUUUUUUCGAAGUUGUUUAGUUUUAAAUUAUAAAAAUUAUAUUGAAACGCACCGUUUCAAGCAUAAAUGUAAUUAUCCAAAACCCCAAGGGCAUUUCCAAAAACUGAUAAAACCCUAAACACUAACUAUAUAAGCCCCACUUAAUCCCUCGCGUCUGCUCCACCGGUAGUCAUUUUAGGGUUUCUCUGUGUGUUGCGCGCGCUUCCCUCAUAGCAAACCCUAACAAAAAAUGGCGACAGCAAAAGCAGGUCCAGUGGAAUCUGUACAAUGCUUCGGCCGCAAGAAGACUGCGGUCGCCGUGACUUACUGCAAGCGCGGUCGUGGGUUGAUCAAGAUUAACGGCUGCCCGAUCGAGUUAGUCGAGCCGGAGAUCCUCCGCUUCAAGGCAUACGAGCCAAUUCUCUUGCUCGGGCGACACCGAUUCGCCGGCGUGGACAUGAGAAUCCGCGUGAAGGGCGGGGGACACACGUCGCAGAUCUACGCCAUCCGCCAGAGCAUCGCCAAGGCUCUCGUGGCUUUCUACCAGAAGUAUGUUGACGAGCAGAGCAAGAAGGAGAUCAAGGACAUUCUCGUUAGGUACGACAGGACCCUGCUUGUGGCAGACCCACGGCGGUGCGAGCCCAAGAAGUUCGGUGGACGUGGCGCUAGGGCUCGGUUCCAGAAGAGUUACCGUUGAGCGGGAAUGCUAGGAAGCGAAACGAAACGGCUUGUUGUUUUGCUCUGCUGUACCGUACAUCCGCCUUGGCCGUACAGCAGUGAGUAGAAAAUGGACAUCUUUUAUUUGUAAAAAUUAUUUAUUUAAGUAUAUAUUUUAUAAAAAUCAAUGUAAUAAUAUAAAUUUUAAUUAUAUAUGUUUGAUUGUAAAUAUUAAUAUAAUAUUUUAUUAUAAUAAUCAUUAUAAAUAUUUAUGUAAUAUAAUAAUAUUAUACGUGAUCAGUAUUAAAAAAACUCAAUCUACUGAACUAAGAAUCACAAAUAAAUAAAUAUUAGUAAUAAUAAUAGAAUUUAAUUUUUCUUAAAGGAGUAAUAUUAUUAUUUACUUGCUUACCGCGCCAGCAAUUGCCUUUUUGACCGCCUUCAUGUCAUCGAUCGAGAAAGUAGCCGUCGCCAGCUUCCUCGGCCAGAGCUCGACCCCAGCGCCUCCGCUAAUCGCCGUCUUCCGAUCAGAAACCCACAGAGCCCUCAACAAAAACUCCAAAACGAACACGAUACUAAGCAAAACCAUCUUCAACAAACCCCACAAGCUCCCGAUCUUCCCCGCACUCUCCGUCCUCUUCCCGCCGGCCACCGCCGGCAGAGCCUCCGGGUCGUCCGCCAGGCGGCAACCCGCGAGCAGCAUCGACACCAGCGAAAUCCCAUCGCCCAAGGCAUGGUGAAUCCUGAACACGGCGCACCUGUGCUCCGCCAGCACGUGAACCUCCCACAGGGGCUUGUCUUCGCUGAGGGGAGAGCUGAAUGACAGGCCGGCCACGUAGUCGUUGACCGAGGUGGAGUCGUGGACUUCGACGAAGUGUCGGUCGAUGUCGACGCUGGUUUCGCGCCAGUGCUCGAGGCCGCGCUUGUCUCUGACCAGGACGCUCCGGAAGCGCGGGUGCCGGACCAUGAUGGAGCUCAUGACGGCGUCCUUCGAUUUGGGCACGUCAAUGGGGCGUUCGAACCCGACGACGCAGUGGAUUAUCGUGUUCAUGUGCGGCUGGAGGAAGAGGCGGCCGGCGGGGGUCAGUGGCUCGUCGGGGUGGGACCCCAUUUGUAGCUGUGUAUGUUCCUUGUUGAAGAUGUCCUACAGAGAAUUUUAUGACGCCGGUUCCAUCCAACUAACUGGCUUUAACCUUUGCCUUCAUUUCACACAAAUAAGAAGUUUGAUUGAUGCAAAUCACGAAGGGGGGAAAAAGAAAGGGUACCUUGUUAUGAACGACAAUCCAGCAAUCGUCUUUGGUGUUGUGGUGAGCAGCUUCUUGCCUGCUGUACGGCCAAGGCGGAUGUACGGUACAGCAGGGGGGGGUUCUUCCUUUUUGAUUUAAUUUUUUUAUCAUCAAAACAAAACAUACGUUCCAUUAAUUUGUCUUAUUUUGAUGAUCAAAGGAUUUGUUUCGUUACUUUUUAAUUGCUGGUCUGGGCAACAACUAUGACAUACUUUGUUUAGAUAAUUAAUAAAUGGUUGGGAAUAUUAUUUAUGCCACUUGGGUUUAGCUGUUGAGGACCGAUGCUUUCCUUUCAAACUUCUAUUGAUAAGGGGAUUACAAUAAUGAUUUAUAUAUGUAUGUAUGUAUAUACACACAUGCAUAUACAUACAUACAUACAUACAUACAUCAUACAUAUAUAUAGGGAAAAAUUGAAAGAUGGAGGAUUACUUUUUAAAUUGAUUGGUUGUUUUAGUCAUUAGCACAUUAGAUGCCCCUUCAACAAUAGUCAUAUUAACUAGCGUAUUUAUUAAUGUAUAUCUUCUUUGGACGUUGUUCAUCGAGUAAGAAAGGACAAUUUGAUAAUAUUGUAGUUUUUGUAUUAAUUUAUUAGUUAUAUUGUAUAAAUAAUUAACUACAAAGACAAUCAAUUAAACGUUUAGUAAAAUUUAUUUUUAAAAGUACUAUGACUUUCAAAAAUAUAACUUUUAAAAAGAGUAAUGAUAUAGCCACAAAAUCUUGUACAAACUUAUUUUGUACAAACUGAUGUAGCAUGAUAAGAUUGGUUGAAUUAAAUAUCACUUGGCCCACAUGAUUUGUUUUUAUUAUUUUAUAUUUUCAUUCAACCAAUGAAUUAAUGCCACGUUAGUUUGUACAAAAUAAGUUUGUACAAGAGUUUGUGACUGUAUCAUUACUCUUUUAAAAAUAAAUGUAUUUAGUAAAUUUUACUGUUAAAUUGCUGUUAAAACAUAAAUGAUUGAAUUGGAGAUAAUGUUGAAUAAAAUUUAUUUAAACAUUUAUAGGUAUGAAUAUAAAAUAUUUUUGAUUGUGUACGUAAAUAAUUGACUACUAAAAUGAAUAUUUUAUAAUAUUAAAUUUAUUUUUUUAUCUCAAUAUAAUUACUAAUAAUAAUAAUAAUUUAUUUAAAGUUGAUGAUUUUAUUUCCUAAUUAAGAAGGAUGAUUUUAGAUUUUUAUAAAAUAUAUGAGGAUAUAUAUGAAAUUAUAUUAGGUAUAAAAGUAAUUCUCAAAAUUAGAUUUUAAAAAACUACUAAUUUUGUUGCUUUUCAAAAUUGUUAUAGGAUGAGAUAAUUUUAUCAAAAGUAAUUUAUUAAAAAAAAAUAGCAAACAUCAAAAUUAACUUCUAGGUUUUUGAAAUCACAUUUGAACUUCCUAAAAGUAAUCCCAAAACGUGUCCUAAGGAUGUAGUAUAUAUUUUGUAUUAGAUUAUUUUCAAGCUGGUUAAUUAAAUAACUCACUAAUCAGAUACACUUUCAAAUUAUGUUCAAGCACCAAUCACUAAAAUGAAAAUGAAAAUUUACAAAUUCUCAAAAAAUUGAAAAACUUCAACCCUUAAUAGUCGAAUCAUACAAGAAGUGAUUGGUGAGGAGAUCUUUAAUCCAUUUCUUAAUCCCCAAUAAUGUCUAAUAAUCCAGUAUUACAAGGCUCUAAUUCCCACCACAGAUUUUAUAGCUCAAUAAAAUAAAUAGGAUGGAGUCACUAGAAGGGAAGGACCCUUGCAAAAAUGCCAUCUAUCAAGGCCGGCAUAAAGUCAUUUGUGUGAUGUUAACAAAACAUAAACCCACCACGAAUCAAUCAUUUUGUGCAAUUUGCAAAUCAAUUUUCCUUCUGUGUAUAUAGAAAUUAAUAACAUAUAAUAGUGUCAUAAGGCGAAAAUUUAUAACAUAUAGCGUCAGACUAGUAAUACGAAUAUAAAGAAGAACAGUGUAGUUGGGGGCUAGCAGAGGCGGAUACACCUCGUGAUUAAUGGGGGCUCAAGUCCCUGCUGCUGGAGAAAAUAAUUUCAAAAAAAAAAUAAAAAGAGAAAUUGCUUUAAAUUAAAUCUGUUAAAGUAGCCCUAUUAAUUUAUAAAAAUAAGGGUUAUUAUCAUUUUACUACUUCAAAAAUUGUCAAAUAUCAAAUGACUACAACAAGUAUUGUCUCCUAUCAUUUUCUUACUAUAUCUUUAUAAAAAUAUCAUUUUAUUACUUUUCCGUUAUAACCGUUAGUUGACCAGUUAGUUGACUAACAAAAUACCAAUUUCACCCUUUAUGAUUAAAAAAAAUUACUUGAAACUUAUUUACAAAAUAAAAUUGUAAUAUAUUUAUUAAAAUGGAUAUAAAAUACCAACAUAAUUCUUUUUGCUGGUAUUAUGAAAAUGAAGCUUAUUUACAAAAUAAAUUUGUCUUAUUAUUUUUUUAAUGAAGCUUAUUUUUUUAAUCAUGAAGGGUAAAAUUGAUAUUUUGUUAGUCAACUAACUGGUCAACUAACGAGUCAACUAACGGUUGUAACGGAAAAAUAGUAAAAUGAUAUUUGUUAUAACAAAAAAGUAGUAAAAUGAUAUUUUUAUAAAGAUAUAGUGGGAAAAUAAUAGAAGACAAUAUUUAUUGUAGUCAUUUGAUAUUUAGUAAUUUUUGAAGUAGUAAAAAUGAUAAUAACCCUAAAAAUAAUCUCAUAAACCCAUAACAUUUAAAUUUUUAACCUUGAGAAUUAUAAAAACCCAUACUCUAAUUAAGAAAAAUAAAAACUCACAGUAACUUAAUUAUAUGGAUGGUUUUACUAUUAUUUAAUUUAACCAUCAUUAAAUUUAUUAAAAUAAACUAAUUAGCUCACAAAAAUUUAUUUGUGAAAUUUUAACGGAUUUUUUUAUAAAUUUAUGAAAUGUUCAUUCAUUUAUUUUAAAUUAUAAAUAAAUAUGAAAUUAAAUAAAUUUCAUAACGGAUUUUUUUUUUUUUUGACACCUUUAACAUCGGACAAGCUGAUCUUUUGACAUAAUUAACUAACAAACAGAUGUGACAUGUAACAAAUAAAUCGCUUGUUAUAAGUAAACUUUUCCUCCACAUAAUAUUAUUGAUAAAGACUAUUUGAGAAUAGUUGUUGAGCGCUUUUAAAUGAGCAUAAGGAUGAGGGAGGGACGAUGGAAACUGAGCACAUGUUGUCAUUUCAUAUACUCUUCUCUCUCUUAUUUAUGGCCCACUAGUGCUAUUAUAAUAAUAAUUAAAAAUGAGGCAAAAUAAUGAAAAAAAUUAAAUUAAAUAAAAAAGCAGCCGUUAUCCCCAAGUACGGGAUCUGCUGACGGUGCCGAUGACGACCGCGCCAACAACAGAGGCGGCUUCUAAGUUGACGAAAUUAUGAAAUUGUCGUUGGUUAAUUGGUAAUUCUCUCUCUCUCCAAUUACAUUGAAAUAAACUUAGUUUAUGGAUGUGUUUUAUAUAUUUAAAUUGUUAGAGUUUUUUUUAAAUUUAAAUUGUUAGAAAGUUAAUGGAUUAAAAUUUUACUAGAUGAUAAUUUUAUAAAAAAAUUUAAUUACUUGUUCUUAAUACAAAGGAUAAUUAUUUUGUAGAAAUAUAAUAACAAGUUAUAAACACAUGAGAGAUUGAGUACUCAAUAACAAACUCAAUGAUAAUUAUUGAAUCCGUUAUAAUUUGAAUUUGGUUGAGCUUUUUUUUUUUUAAUAAUUGGAGAAGACCUUUUGGACACAAUUGGAUCACUGUUAACCUCAAUCAGUUUGCUGUUCUGACUUGUUCCUAGUAACCAUUAUGUUGAAUUUUAAAUUAUUGGAUCAUUGUUUAGAAUAGUCGGAUUACCGUUUAAUUCCAAAAAGUUCACUGAUCGAAGUCAAAUCACCGUUUGUUGUUUACCGUUUAAUUCCAGAAGCUCACAUCUGCGAAGUCGGCUUGUUAUUUGUAAAUAACGGUUUGCUGUUUUCAAAUAAAAUUUUUUCUAUAUUUUAUUGGUUACCGUUUUCUCACUAACAAUUAACCAUUAACUUCCCAAAGCUAUUAAUAACUCAACUACAAGUUAUUGGUUUGCCCUUUUUAAGCUUAACAGUUAUCCAUUUAUUUUCAUAAACUUGAAUUUGUCGAAAACAUCAUACGAUCUAAGAAAUUAUCCAAAUUUAAAGACUCUUAACUUUCUUAAUUUAGUUUGUUAUCAUCAAAAUCAAUGUCAUGGUUAUGUCAACACUUCCUUUGCAAUUGUAGAUUAGUGAAAGUGUAAAAAAGUAAACUAAAAUGAGUGAUUGUGCGAGAAUUAAAGGUAUUGCAUCAAAUUGAUAUUAUAAGCCCAAAUUGAUAUUUGCAUUCCCAAUUAUAAAGUAUUGCAUCAAUACAAAAAGGCAACAUAUAUGUAAAAUGAAAACUGGUGCAUUUGACAGUAGAAAAUUGAAAGACUUUUACAUCUUACAAUUUGGGUCAAGGCCAUUAGCAAGCUUUUACAAUUUGCUUGUUAUGCGUCAGUACAAUAUUUUCCAAAUCAAGUUAUCAUAAAAAAUUAUCAUAAAUCACCUAAUUGAAUUUUUUUAUAAAAUUAUCAUAAACCACAGAACUAUCAUAACACAAAUACAAUAUAUUAGAUCCUAUUUUACUAUUUAUACUCAAUGAUUCCAAAAAUUAUCAUAAAUCACAUAAUUGAAAUUGUUUAUUUUUAAUUAUUUGACAGAAAAUUGAUCGUAUACAAGUGAGAGAUAGAGAGAGAGAGAGAGAGAGAGAAAUGAGACCUUUAGCAAUGGCAGUAUUGGCAUUAUGGUGAUGGCUCUGUUAGACCUGUGAUGCACUGGCGGUGGCUCUAUUGGCUCUUUAUACAUCAGCAUCAUGGUGGCAGCUCCAUUGAAUGCAAGGUUAUGGCUUUUCUUCUUCUUCUUUUUCCUUUUGAUAAGAGAUCAUUAGUUGAUCAUCGUCGGUCGUUUUUUAACAAAAUGAUCCUUUUUUUUCCAACAGAAUAAAUGUGCAAAGCUUUAGGAGAAAAGUGCUGCUAAACGAAGAUGAUAAGGUUUAGCAAAAAGGCUCGAUCUUCCUACUUUUUUAUUUUUUAAUUAUUAUUUUAAUAGUUAUUGUGGGUCACAAAUAAGAGAGAGAAGGGUGCACGAAACAGCAGCAAGUGCUGCCAUUUUGGUUGUCCUUCCCUCGUCCUUGGGCCAUCUCCAAUGCUUAACACUAUUUUAGUGUAACACCAACAUAAAAAAUUUUUUUUUUUUUACACUAAAUUAUUAUUUCAUCUCCAAUCCAUUUACACCAAAUUUUACACCAAAAAAAAUAUUCUUCUUUUUAUUAUUUUAAUUCUCAAUAAUUAAUUCAAUUAACACAAUAAAUAUUACUAUUAAUAUAGACAAUUAAGUAAUAAGUAAUUUUAUAUUGAUUAACAAAAAAAAAAGAAAAUUAUUAAAUUUGCAUUUAAUUAAUUAAAUUAGUAUAUUAUGAAAAUUAAACAUUACAUUAAUAUAGAAAAAUACAAUAACAGUAAUAAUAUUCUAGUUAUUCGAAUUACUAAAUUCAUCCCAUAAAUGAUCAAUUAAUGCAUUUCGGAGUGCAAUGUGAGCCUCUUUAUCCUUGAUUUGUUUGUGUCGAGCAAGAAAUUCUUGAAAUCUAGUAUUCUCAUAUACCCUCAUAUCAACGAUUGAUAUUGGGGCUUGCAUCCAAUCAUUAAUUGUUGCAUUAACAUCACGUUCAUCUUCGAUUAUCAUAUUGUGCAUAAUAAUGCAAGCCGUCAUUAUAUCAUGUAACAAAUUAAGAUUUUACAGAGAAGACCUCAGCAAUGCCAAUCAUCUCAAAAUACUUCCAAUAAUAUUGGCCAAUAUUUUGAUGAUAUUGGAGGAUCUAAUAAUGAUCUCCCAUAUUACUAAAUAAUUGUUCUAAUUUAUGCUAGUAGUAGUAGCUUUUUAAUUUGUGUUAAUUUAAUUUUGUAUUUUUAAUUUUGUAAUAUGUAAUCUAGUAAUUAAUGUUAUUGACAUUUUAUUUUUAUUAUUAAUUUUUGUGUUGAAUAUUUUUUAUUUAAAAUAUUAGUAUAAUAAUCAAAAAUUAAAAAAUGAAAUUAAAAUAAUAAUAAUAAUAACUUAAAAUAUUAUAUAAAAUAGGACAUAUAUGUAAGUAAAAAUAAUAAUAAGGACAUUUGAGAUUUUUUUUUCCCUAGCACCAAAUGAAUAGUGUUGCACCAUAUUUGGUGCAAUACUAUUCAUAACACCAUUUUGGUGUUACUUUGGAGAAAUAUUUUAUACCAAAAAUGGUAUAAAAUGUGGGGCAAAAUUAUGUUGCAACAGUGGUACGGUACCACUGUUACAACCAGCCAUUAGAUCUAUAGUUGUACAAUUGUAUUAAUUAUAUCCAAUGACUGAAAGCAACAUAGUUAGACCCUAAAAGGUGAUUUGGUGUUAGGUUUAGUGCUGCAUGGAGAUGCCCUCACGGCUAUUUAGCAUUUUUUCGAAGUUGUUUAGUUUUAAAUUAUAAAAAUUAUAUUGAAACGCACCGUUUCAAGCAUAAAUGUAAUUAUCCAAAACCCCAAGGGCAUUUCCAAAAACUGAUAAAACCCUAAACACUAACUAUAUAAGCCCCACUUAAUCCCUCGCGUCUGCUCCACCGGUAGUCAUUUUAGGGUUUCUCUGUGUGUUGCGCGCGCUUCCCUCAUAGCAAACCCUAACAAAAAAUGGCGACAGCAAAAGCAGGUCCAGUGGAAUCUGUACAAUGCUUCGGCCGCAAGAAGACUGCGGUCGCCGUGACUUACUGCAAGCGCGGUCGUGGGUUGAUCAAGAUUAACGGCUGCCCGAUCGAGUUAGUCGAGCCGGAGAUCCUCCGCUUCAAGGCAUACGAGCCAAUUCUCUUGCUCGGGCGACACCGAUUCGCCGGCGUGGACAUGAGAAUCCGCGUGAAGGGCGGGGGACACACGUCGCAGAUCUACGCCAUCCGCCAGAGCAUCGCCAAGGCUCUCGUGGCUUUCUACCAGAAGUAUGUUGACGAGCAGAGCAAGAAGGAGAUCAAGGACAUUCUCGUUAGGUACGACAGGACCCUGCUUGUGGCAGACCCACGGCGGUGCGAGCCCAAGAAGUUCGGUGGACGUGGCGCUAGGGCUCGGUUCCAGAAGAGUUACCGUUGAGCGGGAAUGCUAGGAAGCGAAACGAAACGGCUUGUUGUUUUGCUAUUAUAGUUUGUUUGUU